UACGUAGGGUGCAAGCGUUGUCCGGAAUUAUUGGGCGUAAAGAGCUCGUAGGCGGUUUGUCGCGUCUGCUGUGAAAACUCGGGGCUUAACUCCGGGCCUGCAGUGGGUACGGGCAGACUAGAGUGCGGUAGGGGAGACUGGAAUUCCUGGUGUAGCGGUGAAAUGCGCAGAUAUCUGGAGGAACACCGGUGGCGAAGGCGGCAUCCUGGACCAAUUCUGACGCUGAGUGAGCGAAAGCCAGGGGAGCAAACGGG
This 254-nucleotide ribosomal RNA is filed under the name uncultured bacterium. RNAcentral describes it as "partial 16S ribosomal RNA". It matches the Rfam family "Bacterial small subunit ribosomal RNA", at positions 524 to 776 of the family's 1533-position model. The record is from RNAcentral.